Molecule: ribosomal RNA, 2375 nt
Filed under: Salmonella enterica subsp. enterica serovar Monschaui
Lineage: Bacteria; Pseudomonadati; Pseudomonadota; Gammaproteobacteria; Enterobacterales; Enterobacteriaceae
Description: bacterial LSU rRNA
Rfam family: Bacterial large subunit ribosomal RNA
Source: RNAcentral
AGUGGGAGCACAGGUUUACCUGUGUGACUGCGUACCUUUUGUAUAAUGGGUCAGCGACUUAUAUUCUGUAGCAAGGUUAACCGAAUAGGGGAGCCGGAGGGAAACCGAGUCUUAAUUGGGCGUUAAGUUGCAGGGUAUAGACCCGAAACCCGGUGAUCUAGCCAUGGGCAGGUUGAAGGUUGGGUAACACUAACUGGAGGACCGAACCGACUAAUGUUGAAAAAUUAGCGGAUGACCUGUGGCUGGGGGUGAAAGGCCAAUCAAACCGGGAGAUAGCUGGUUCUCCCCGAAAGCUAUUUAGGUAGCGCCUCGUGAAUUCAUCUCCGGGGGUAGAGCACUGUUUCGGCUAGGGGGCCAUCCCGGCUUACCAACCCGAUGCAAACUGCGAAUACCGGAGAAUGUUAUCACGGGAGACACACGGCGGGUGCUAACGUCCGUCGUGAAGAGGGAAACAACCCAGACCGCCAGCUAAGGUCCCAAAGUCAUGGUUAAGUGGGAAACGAUGUGGGAAGGCCCAGACAGCCAGGAUGUUGGCUUAGAAGCAGCCAUCAUUUAAAGAAAGCGUAAUAGCUCACUGGUCGAGUCGGCCUGCGCGGAAGAUGUAACGGGGCUAAACCAUGCACCGAAGCUGCGGCAGCGACACUCAGGUGUUGUUGGGUAGGGGAGCGUUCUGUAAGCCUGUGAAGGUGGCCUGUGAGGGUUGCUGGAGGUAUCAGAAGUGCGAAUGCUGACAUAAGUAACGAUAAAGCGGGUGAAAAGCCCGCUCGCCGGAAGACCAAGGGUUCCUGUCCAACGUUAAUCGGGGCAGGGUGAGUCGACCCCUAAGGCGAGGCCGAAAGGCGUAGUCGAUGGGAAACGGGUUAAUAUUCCCGUACUUGGUGUUACUGCGAAGGGGGGACGGAGAAGGCUAUGUUGGCCGGGCGACGGUUGUCCCGGUUUAAGCGUGUAGGUGUGUGUUCCAGGUAAAUCCGGUUCACUUUAACACUGAGGCGUGAUGACGAGGCACUACGGUGCUGAAGCAACAAAUGCCCUGCUUCCAGGAAAAGCCUCUAAGCAUCAGGUAACAUCAAAUCGUACCCCAAACCGACACAGGUGGUCAGGUAGAGAAUACCAAGGCGCUUGAGAGAACUCGGGUGAAGGAACUAGGCAAAAUGGUGCCGUAACUUCGGGAGAAGGCACGCUGACAUGUAGGUGAAGUGAUUUACUCAUGGAGCUGAAGUCAGUCGAAGAUACCAGCUGGCUGCAACUGUUUAUUAAAAACACAGCACUGUGCAAACACGAAAGUGGACGUAUACGGUGUGACGCCUGCCCGGUGCCGGAAGGUUAAUUGAUGGGGUCAGCGCAAGCGAAGCUCCUGAUCGAAGCCCCGGUAAACGGCGGCCGUAACUAUAACGGUCCUAAGGUAGCGAAAUUCCUUGUCGGGUAAGUUCCGACCUGCACGAAUGGCGUAAUGAUGGCCAGGCUGUCUCCACCCGAGACUCAGUGAAAUUGAACUCGCUGUGAAGAUGCAGUGUACCCGCGGCAAGACGGAAAGACCCCGUGAACCUUUACUAUAGCUUGACACUGAACAUUGAGCCUUGAUGUGUAGGAUAGGUGGGAGGCUUUGAAGUGUGGACGCCAGUCUGCAUGGAGCCGACCUUGAAAUACCACCCUUUAAUGUUUGAUGUUCUAACGUGGACCCGUUAUCCGGGUUGCGGACAGUGUCUGGUGGGUAGUUUGACUGGGGCGGUCUCCUCCUAAAGAGUAACGGAGGAGCACGAAGGUUGGCUAAUCCUGGUCGGACAUCAGGAGGUUAGUGCAAUGGCAUAAGCCAGCUUGACUGCGAGCGUGACGGCGCGAGCAGGUGCGAAAGCAGGUCAUAGUGAUCCGGUGGUUCUGAAUGGAAGGGCCAUCGCUCAACGGAUAAAAGGUACUCCGGGGAUAACAGGCUGAUACCGCCCAAGAGUUCAUAUCGACGGCGGUGUUUGGCACCUCGAUGUCGGCUCAUCACAUCCUGGGGCUGAAGUAGGUCCCAAGGGUAUGGCUGUUCGCCAUUUAAAGUGGUACGCGAGCUGGGUUUAGAACGUCGUGAGACAGUUCGGUCCCUAUCUGCCGUGGGCGCUGGAGAACUGAGGGGGGCUGCUCCUAGUACGAGAGGACCGGAGUGGACGCAUCACUGGUGUUCGGGUUGUCAUGCCAAUGGCACUGCCCGGUAGCUAAAUGCGGAAGAGAUAAGUGCUGAAAGCAUCUAAGCACGAAACUUGCCCCGAGAUGAGUUCUCCCUGAGACUUAAAGUCUCCUGAAGGAACGUUGAAGACGACGACGUUGAUAGGCCGGGUGUGUAAGCGCAGCGAUGCGUUGAGCUAACCGGUACUAAUGAACCGUGAGGCUUAACC